Columba livia (rock pigeon) is the source of this 4530-nucleotide long non-coding RNA. RefSeq lists it as uncharacterized. The record is from RefSeq and is a predicted model, not a curated record. Lineage: Eukaryota; Metazoa; Chordata; Aves; Columbiformes; Columbidae. The transcript is spliced from 3 exons.
UGAGACCAACACAGAGGUUUGCUUUUGUGAUUAUGAGUUUAAAGUAACAGCAGAAAACCCAAGAAGAUAUGUCAGAGAUCGAAUGUAGACUUUUUUCUUUUUUUUUAAUUUGUGUUAGACAUUAUCAAGAAUUAAAAUACAGAAGAGACGGAGAACUAGAAGCUAUCAAGAAAAUGAUAUCAAGACAGAGGAGAAUUUCUUAAGGUUGUGCCAAAGAAACAGUUGGAGAGAGAAGGGAAGGAAAAUCAGAAGAUGGUAUUAUGGGCACCAACAGAAUAUUAAAAGAAAUAGUAUUUCUGAUGGUACUAAAACAGCUGACAGGUCCAGAUGGAUGAAACUGAACCAGUUCUGUGGUUUGGUGAAAAGGAAUCCAUGCAGAUUUCAACAACAACAAGAGCUUUUGAUGAGUUUGAACUGGAAAUUGGAAAAUGCCUAAGAUGGAACCAGAAAAUAAAGUCCUCAGGAGAAGCAACUAGAGCAGAUUUACAGGUUCACAGAUAUGCCUAAGAGAACCACAUGGACCCCCUCUCAUGAUGAUUUAUCCAGACUAUAUUCUUACUCACAUUUGAUGAAAAUAAUGGCUGGUGAGAAUGGCUGCAGUCUUCAGGCUGUGGAGAACCUGCUGUGAAGGGAAUUGCCUGAACAUCCAUUUGAAGACUGAAGAAAGGAGAGGAGUCAUCUUUCUGGUUUUCUUUAUCCGAAUAAUGCUCUGAUUUUGCUACAGAGACUUUUCUAUAUACAGAUCUGGCUGACAUGGUGAGAGGUUUAUCUCCUUUUUUCCUCCUUCUGUCUAUCCAUGGUGGAAUGCAGCAACUGUUGCUUGUUUGAUGAGCAAACAGAAAUUGGGAACUAUUCCUUUCUCCGCUUCCCCGCAGCGUUAUUAUUUAAACAGUGUUUAACCGACAGCAUUUUUAAAUAUUGUAAAACUAUGGAGAACUACAAGAUUAACAAAACUAUUACAUUAUCCAGCUCUCAUACACCAUAUAUUACAAAAUAAAUGAUCAAGGAAAAUGAUACAUCUGUUCUCUGUUGCUGUGUUCCAGAGAUGAAUUUCCAAAUCUUCCCUCUGUAAAGUUUAGUCCUCGGCCUUCAAAAGCAGAUGAGAGGAGGUUGUGGCCUCUCAAGAAAAUCCAUCCAGAGGUGAUGAGGGGACAUUAGAACACGGAUGAUGGCAAUGUUUUACCCCAGAGAUAUUAUACUAUGUAGUAGUCAAAAGACCCUUUAUCAAUCAUAUUUGUCAGAAAAGGGUCAGUGAUAGAAUGAGCCAUCUGCAGUAACUUUGUGCUAUUUCAGACAAAGACAAAAUUUAGCCCAAAAACCUCUCUGAUGAAACAAUAUUUGCUAUAAGCUUUUAGGAGUGAGCCCUUUUUGCCAGAAAACAUCGUGAGAAGGAAAUGUUGAAGUCGAGGGACUCAACAUUCCAAUUCAUGUGGUGGUCUUUUUUCCUGAGUAAACUCAGCUGUGGGAAGAAUUCAUGCCUUCCUUACAGAAAAUCGUCCCAUUCCUGAUGGUGAUCAUCCUGCACAUGGAAUCUUUCAGUGCAGAAUUUCUUCAGGCUUCCAACUUAAAUAAUGUAGAAAAUGUCAGGUAAGUGAAGAGAUGAAAGUGAACACAUCUUGAUUAAGGUGUUAAUUAGUUUGAAGGAAAAAUUACUAGUAGCAUGCUGACAGCAUGUGGGUGGUUUCAAUGAUAGCUGGCAGCCUCUCUGGGCAUAGCCUUAAUUUUCCUUUCUAAAAGAUGGCUCCAAGUAUGCAUUUUUGGAAGACUAUGGAUUUGUGAAUAUUUUUUCUGUGAUUCCUAGAGAAAUUAGUUUAAGGAAAUGUAUUAAGAAGAAAAUUCAUAGUUAUAGUACUUAAAUUCCUUCCUUUCUGUAAAAAAAUCUUCAUAAUUGGUGCUAUUAUAUUAACAAGCCUGUGAGAUUAUUUAAGAGCAUCUCCUAUGUAUUUCAUUAAUCACUUAGCAGAGGAAUAAAAUCUUGCAAACCGUCAAUCUCCAGAUUUUGAAAAUGCAGCUCUUCUGCAUAUGAUUCUUGCACUCCACUCAUUAAUGAAAUAUCAGAGUGCCUUCUACUCUUAUUAAAUGACAAGAUUAACAUGUAUCAUCUUCAUUUUUUCUUUUUUCUUUUUUUUUUUUUUUUUUUAAAUUCCCUUAGCUUUAAUAUUUCUCUGGUUUAAUUGAGAUCAAUGGGAAUAGUUGCAGAAUGAGGUGCAAUUCAAUGUGAUGUGAGAAUUGAGGUUGCUAUAAUAAGGGAUAAGAAGGAUAAAAUGAGAAGAACAAGUGACUUCUUUGCCCAUCUGUGCACUAGAGAGCAAAAAGCUGGAUUCUGUAUUCCUCUCACUUAUGUCUCUUCUGCAGCCACUAAUCAAACUAUAAAAGUGAACACAAUGAGAGCAAGUUGGAUCUGAUGGCAAUAAUGCAGAAUGCAGUAUGGGAUACUUACCCCGCAGCCUGGCUGCUGUUCAACACAUCAUUUAGCCAUAGCCUGUGGAGUGGGAGACAGGAAAGAACUCUACGUUUUUCAUGUACUAAGAAAAAAAGAACAAAGACCAUGAUGUUAUACCGUUUAGGAUUUCCAACAUUCCUGGAGUGGAGGUCUGUCCUCUAUAAAAGCACUGACUGGGACAGUAUUCAACCACAUACUUAGACUUUUGAGCCGCGGACAUAUUUUUCUGUGUUUAGAACUGUCACUGGUUAAGUAAAGAAAAAUGGAUCAGCUGUUUUUAAGGUUUUGUACAAAUGGUGUUAGAGAAUAAGAAGAAAUGUUGUGAUUUAAAUAUAAAAAUAGAAGUGUAUUGGCAUAUAUUUAUAUAUGUAUGUAUAUUUUGCACGUGUAUGGCUUCAUAGAAAAUAUCAUAUACUUAUUCAGAGAUGAAAAGAGUGGAUCAAAAAAGGCACGGCAUGCUCCACAGCAUGGCAAGGAAUCUGAAGUAAGGCACAACCAAAGGCAAGCAGAGUGGAAUUUCAUCCUCAGUAUUGGACUAUCAAAUGAUUUCUUUAAAACUGCACCUGGUGUGUGUCAAGGUGCUUAAUGCUGGGGAGGCAAGGCAAAUUAUUUAUUUCUUCUCCCAGUAGUCACUGCGGUUCAAUAUGAAGCACGACCCUGGUGUCAGAAAGGUAAGUGAAAAUUGCUUUCAUUGAGGUCUCAGGCAGACACGUCAGCACAGGGCCAGGGCCAUGGCCGGGCCAGGGCAGGAGGAGCAGCUGUGUGGCUGCAGCCAGGGCUGUGCCCAGAGACCAGCACGCAGCCUGGCCAGCGACCAGGGAACCUCCGCCACACAAUGGAAUCUGCAGUACAUAAAAAGGGUGCCGCUUCUUGAUAUCUAAGACAACUGCUAAAAUAGUAUUUAAUACUGAGCUAUGUAUAGACUCUGGAAACCAUUUCAUUUGCAGAUCUCCAUCCUUCCUCUUGAGAAGGGAAUAUGCAUUUUCCCUGACUGAAUUCUCCCACACCAUGUGCAAAGCAAUACCUGUAUGUUCAGGGAUUUGUGUAAACAACUAGAAAAAGCAAGUGUGAAAGACUAAGAGAAUUCAUUGCCUUAUUUUCAAAGGCCUCAACUUCUUCUCAGCUAUCAUAUACUUUUCAAAUUGCAAUUGUCACAUUGUUUUUAAAUGCCAAAACAUUCUGUCAACAGUUUUAUUUCCAUUUAUUUUCUCUUUGGCUACGUUAUGUCCUGAAAUUUUAUCUCCGUCUUCAUGACCCUUUUUCUAUUCGUCUUAAAGUUAAUUAAAACGUGUCAAUAGAGAAGAUAUUCUUAAAAUAAUGGGGCUUCACAUAUGUUGUAUAAUCUCUCAGUUAUGUCUCAUCUGGUAGUCUUCACUGAGGCUAUAUCAUCUAGAAUGUAAAGAAAUCAAAGUAUCACCUGUUUUCAAGAACUGCUGAGCACCAGCCUGAGAGUAAUAAUCUUUGAUUCUGCUUAAAUUCCAUUGCUUUUGGGUAGUUUAACUGAUGCAACACUUUGCUUCCAUCACCUCAUUUGAAUAGUGUCUCAUACAUUUUAAUACAGUCAUCUGUGCUGUUUUGAAAAAACACUUAAAACAUUUCAAUGCUACCGAGACAUUUACAUACAGAACUGAGAAAUAAAGAGAAUAAAAAAUAUUAAUUAAUCUUGCUUCUCUAAGUCCUGCUGAUCAGUUGCUUCUGUUUAGACAAAUUAAACUCCUGUUGAACUUGGAUGCAUGUGAUUGCUGGCUGAACAUGUUGUAAGUGAUAGAAGAGAUGAAAAAAUAGAGAGGCAAGUGUGCCUUCUAGAUGAUUCAUGCUCACUCUUUCAACAGUUAAAAAUAGUAUCCUUUAACAGCCAUUUUCAGUAAUAAUAGCCCACCUGAGUGAGGUCUGUCAAAUCAACAUGUUGGUGUGUACCAAAGCAAGAUGCUGUAUUUACUGAUGAUCUGUGAAGAAUUAUAUUGAGUAUGAGGAUUAGCUUUGUUGCCUAGAAGUCUGUUUAAAGUUUUAAACUCAUGUUUUCUGAAUUUUUUAAAAAAAUUCAUGUCUUAAUCCAUCUACUUGAAAUUUGAAUAAAUGAGCUUAAA